AACUCGCUGUGAAGAUGCAGUGUACCCGCGGCAAGACGGAAAGACCCCGUGAACCUUUACUAUAGCUUGACACUGAACAUUGAGCCUUGAUGUGUAGGAUAGGUGGGAGGCUUUGAAGCGUGGACGCCAGUCUGCGUGGAGCCGACCUUGAAAUACCACCCUUUAAUGUUUGAUGUUCUAACGUGGAUCCGUAAUCCGGGUUGCGGACAGUGUCUGGUGGGUAGUUUGACUGGGGCGGUCUCCUCCUAAAGAGUAACGGAGGAGCACGAAGGUUGGCUAAUCCUGGUCGGACAUCAGGAGGUUAGUGCAAUGGCAUAAGCCAGCUUGACUGCGAGCGUGACGGCGCGAGCAGGUGCGAAAGCAGGUCAUAGUGAUCCGGUGGUUCUGAAUGGAAGGGCCAUCGCUCAACGGAUAAAAGGUACUCCGGGGAUAACAGGCUGAUACCGCCCAAGAGUUCAUAUCGACGGCGGUGUUUGGCACCUCGAUGUCGGCUCAUCACAUCCUGGGGCUGAAGUAGGUCCCAAGGGUAUGGCUGUUCGCCAUUUAAAGUGGUACGCGAGCUGGGUUUAGAACGUCGUGAGACAGUUCGGUCCCUAUCUGCCGUGGGCGCUGGAGAACUGAGGGGGGCUGCUCCUAGUACGAGAGGACCGGAGUGGACGCAUCACUGGUGUUCGGGUUGUCAUGCCAAUGGCACUGCCCGGUAGCUAAAUGCGGAAGAGAUAAGUGCUGAAAGCAUCUAAGCACGAAACUUGCCCCGA
This 758-nucleotide ribosomal RNA is filed under the name Salmonella enterica subsp. enterica serovar Infantis. Its description in RNAcentral is "partial 23S ribosomal RNA". It matches the Rfam family "Bacterial large subunit ribosomal RNA", at positions 2045 to 2802 of the family's 2925-position model. The record is from RNAcentral. RNAcentral also lists the same sequence under 1 other name. Lineage: Bacteria; Pseudomonadati; Pseudomonadota; Gammaproteobacteria; Enterobacterales; Enterobacteriaceae.